Molecule: long non-coding RNA, 3111 nt
Organism: Lates calcarifer (barramundi perch)
Lineage: Eukaryota; Metazoa; Chordata; Actinopteri; Centropomidae
Exons: 3
Source: RefSeq, a predicted model, not a curated record
UAAUCUUCACCGCCACAAGAGGUUCUUAUCAGGAAAAUGUAAACAUACCCUCGUUGUUUUGGGUGAGGAAUGAUGGAGGGAACAAGGGAGGGGAUCAAAUAUUUUGGUUUGGCCUGUCCUUUACUGUGAAAUGACUAUGACUCCGUCUGGAUAUAUAAGUAUAUAAAAGGCAAUGUGGGAACUCUAUACUCUGAAAUAUGUAAAGAAACACUAGUUUCUCACACACACACACACACAAAGUGUUGGCCAACAUUUAUCCCAUGUGGUUGUUGGGGAAACCCUACUUCCUCCUCAGCAGUGUGAUGAAAGAAACAGGUGGAAGAGAGAGUAUUAAAAAUAAUAGGGGGAACAGGAGAGAGAGAGAAAAACAGACAAGAAGAGAGAACCAGACGCCCUCCCACACUACCAGAGCUUCAGCAACAGCGAGGAUCUUUUAACUUCUCUUUGCAGCCAUGUUUGUGUGUGUGUGUGUGUGUGUGUUCGGCUGACAUGACGCAGAGCAGUCAAAACAGCGUUCUGCUUCUCUGAAGCAGCGCUAACGACCGCAGUCGUUCAUCUAUAGGCAGCCACAGCUUGUGUUGCAUGUUAUCGUUCGCCAUCGGUCUCUCAGGGGCAAACAUGAGGUCGUGGUGGCUCAUGGUAGAUGAACAGAUAAGGAGAGGUGGAGGCUGAGAGACAAGAGGAAGGUAGAAGAAAGAAGCAUCAAGUUUAGCUUGUGUCAAAUUCUCCUGGGCCUGUUGUGUAUUGUUACGCUGUCCUGUUUACAGUACCUUUGUAAAUAACUCACACCAUGAUACGUCUAGUUUUAAUUUGUUAUUUGAUGCUACAAAAACAGGAUAGGACAGGAUCCCUUUCUAGGGAAAGGGAAGUGGAGACACGUCAUCCAUCCUUAUAUCCACUCAUUGCUUAUGCACUUCGGUGCCUUGUUUCUCGUGCGCAACAUUUUACAAUUAAAAGAAGAAGGUGCAAAAAAAUGGAGGAAAUACCAGAAGUUCUUUUUACUAAUGGAGGGAAAGGUAGAUUUUCCAUUCAUCCAGUGCCAUCCAUAAUGCUUAGACCUAAGGGUUGCAGGGGGACUGGAGCCAGUCCCAGCUGGGUUAGAGGAAGGGUACACCCUGGACAGAUCGCCAGUCCAUCGCAGGGCCAACACAUAUAUGGACAAACAACCAUUCACACUCACUCACAUUCACGCCUGUGGGCUAUUUAGUCACCAAUUAACCUAAGCUGCAUGUCUUUGGACUGUGGGAGGACGCCGAGGGCUCGAACCCUGAACCUUCUUGCUGUGAGGCGACAGAAAGAAAAACGAGUUCCUGACUGGGAAAAUUCACUCGAACGCCCCCUCAAGUUGGAAAAACAACUCUUUGGUACACGACUUACCAAAAGUAGAUGUUUGAUUGAUGGAGUGACGGCAGAAAAAGGAGAGGAGGCAGAAGAGACACCACUCGACAUCAGGUGGGUUCGACCCAUAGAAGAUUCAUAGAAGGAGAACAGGUGAGAUUAGAGAGAAAAGGUGGGGAAGUAACAGAAGACAGGGAGUGGAUGCAUGACAGAAAUAAAAAGGUGCUGAGUGAUGUACAGACGGGACAAGUCAGCUCAGGUCAUGCAGUGUUCAUGAAUAUUUGUUAACAAGUUUACUUCAUUCUGUUGUUGGGGAAACUUUAAAACACUCGACUGUGUACUGAGUUUAGUUUAUGCAGGUCAGAGAAGAGAAGACAUCUGUAAAUCAAGGUCGCUUGCUGAUCACAGACAGAUUAAAAGUCCUCCCCCGUCUCACCUCCCUCCCUUCGUCUGCCUAGAAAGAAAGAAUGCAAAACAAUAUUCCAGUCUUAUAUUCCCCCCAUUCUUUAUUUGUUGAUGCGUUGUUUUUCAAUAUCUCUCCUCCAGUCAAGCUUUAUUGUGUUUUUUCCCACUUCCCACCUGAAGCUAAAUGUCUGUUUUCCCCCCUCCUCCUUCCCUCCAUCUCAUUUCACUUUGUCCCUGAGCAGCGUUCUGUGUUUCCUUUGGGCUGUAAAUUUCUUUUUUUCAGAGGAAAAAAAAAAAGGAACUAAAAGAAAGAACUGCAUGAUGUUCUUUCAGAAAAAGAGGUCAGGAAAACAGAGGAGGGAAAGAAGAGGCGGGAGGUAAGGAGGACGGCGUGUCUUGUGACUGUGCUGUGUAGGUGGAACUGUCAGGUAGCCCGCUGGAUUGUAGCUGCACACAAAGAAGAAAAAAACAUGCGAUUUAGAUUCAACAGCCGCAAGUUUGAGCUCAACUUUUAAACCAACAAACCUCCAUCAGCAAGGGAUGGAUAAAAACCUGUAGUAUAACUUGCACAGCUGCCGCCUCCGUAAAUUUGUUCCUGGUUCAUCUUCCGGUUUGGAUUAUGACAAAUAGCACAUGAAUCAACACCGUUUGCUGUUUUAUGUCGAACUCCCAGAUGCCUGGCUUUCCAACUGGCACCUGAACACAACAUAAUAGUAGAGAACAACGACAAGAAACGCUGAAGCACAUCAUCGAGACAGGGUAGAAAUCCCAGAUUUCACCAGAGGUGUGAUCGUACACGGCCACAACUUUCCUCCACUGGAUGAAUAAAGACCAAAAAGAAAGUAAUGCCAUGAAACAAUACAUUAAAAUGACUAAAUACAAUGGCGAGCUGUUUGAACCAAGUCGCACUAACCUUAAUCUGUACCCUAAUUCAGACCAAAUCCACAACGAGCCCUGCUUUAAUCUAAAGAGUCUCACUGGUCUUCAAAGACAGGCUGCUCAAACCCUUUAGUGGCCGCACUUUAACCCCCCAGAUCAGGGAUUCCUGACGUUUAUAACCCUGCGGACAUUUCAAGAAACUUUAAGUCUCUCACAUGAAACACACAGACUGGUUUAAGCUCACUGCUGUUGUCAUGUGGGGAGCCGUGAAUAACGCUGACUACGAGCUGCGUUCAGGGGUCGUAGCAAAGUAAAAACUAGGCCAGUGCUCGGUGGUGUGGUAGGAAAGCAGAAAGAAGGUGACCUCUAAAGCCUCGGAGCAAACAGCGAGAGAUGGGGUAAAUAAAGAGGUCUCUAAUAAACACACUGUGUUUACCCUCCACUUAGCGCUGAGGGGAGGAGGGUGAGGGAAGGAGGGAGGCACGAGGG